RNAcentral lists this long non-coding RNA (180 nucleotides) under Fukomys damarensis (Damara mole-rat). Its description in RNAcentral is "lncRNA (ENSFDAG00000030176.1)". The record is from RNAcentral. Lineage: Eukaryota; Metazoa; Chordata; Mammalia; Rodentia; Bathyergidae.
AAACGGAUGUGAAAUCAUUUCAGAAAUUUCCAGCUUUCCAAAAGAAAUGUUAAGUGAAGAUAACCUCAUAUGAACCACAUUAGAACCAGCACAUCAAAUCCUACCGAGGAAAAGUGACCACAGUUGUCUUCACGUAUAGACAACCUGGAGUUCAUGGCAAAUGUGCUUUAAAGAGAAGGC